RNAcentral lists this ribosomal RNA (891 nucleotides) under Melanops chinensis. RNAcentral's name for it is "partial large subunit ribosomal RNA". It matches the Rfam family "Eukaryotic large subunit ribosomal RNA", at positions 37 to 944 of the family's 3401-position model. Lineage: Eukaryota; Fungi; Ascomycota; Dothideomycetes; Botryosphaeriales; Melanopsaceae. The record is from RNAcentral.
AGCAUAUCAAUAAGCGGAGGAAAAGAAACCAACAGGGAUUGCCUUAGUAACGGCGAGUGAAGCGGCAACAGCUCAAAUUUGAAAUCUGGCCCCCUCGGGGUCCGAGUUGUAAUUUGUAGAGGAUGCUUCGGCGAGGGCUCCCGUCUAAGUUCCUUGGAACAGGACGUCGUAGAGGGUGAGAAUCCCGUAUGCGAUGGGUUGCCCGAGCCAUGUGAAGCUCCUUCGACGAGUCGAGUUGUUUGGGAAUGCAGCUCUAAAUGGGAGGUAAAUUUCUUCUAAAGCUAAAUACCGGCCAGAGACCGAUAGCGCACAAGUAGAGUGAUCGAAAGAUGAAAAGCACUUUGGAAAGAGAGUUAAAAAGUACGUGAAAUUGUUGAAAGGGAAGCGCUUGCAGCCAGACUCGUCCGCAGUUGCUCAGCCGGUCUCCUGACCGGUGUACUCUUCUGCGGCCGGGCCAGCAUCAGUUCGGGCGGUCGGAUAAAGGUCCCGGGAAUGUAGCUCCUCUCGGGGAGUGUUAUAGCCCGGGGCGGAAUGCGGCCAGCCCGGACUGAGGAUCUCGCUUCGGCUAGGAUGCUGGCGUAAUGGCUGUAAGCGGCCCGUCUUGAAACACGGACCAAGGAGUCUAACAUCUACGCGAGUGUUUGGGUGUCAAACCCAAGCGCGUAAUUAAAGUGAACGGAGGUGGGAACCCCUCGCGGGGUGCACCAUCGACCGAUCCUGAUGUCUUCGGAUGGAUUUGAGUAAGAGCGUAGCUGUUGGGACCCGAAAGAUGGUGAACUAUGCCUGAAUAGGGUGAAGCCAGAGGAAACUCUGGUGGAGGCUCGCAGCGGUUCUGACGUGCAAAUCGAUCGUCAAAUUUGGGUAUAGGGGCGAAAGACUAAUCGAACCAUC